Molecule: transfer RNA, 72 nt
Filed under: Ictidomys tridecemlineatus (thirteen-lined ground squirrel)
Lineage: Eukaryota; Metazoa; Chordata; Mammalia; Rodentia; Sciuridae
Description: Spermophilus tridecemlineatus (thirteen-lined ground squirrel) tRNA
Rfam family: tRNA
About the family: Transfer RNA (tRNA) molecules are approximately 80 nucleotides in length. Their secondary structure includes four short double-helical elements and three loops (D, anti-codon, and T loops).
Source: Rfam by way of RNAcentral
AGAGUUGUGGCUCAGUGGUAGAGUGCUCGCCUAGCAUGUGUGAGACCCUGGGUUUUAUUCUCAGCACCACAU